Molecule: ribosomal RNA, 1413 nt
Filed under: Staphylococcus warneri
Lineage: Bacteria; Bacillati; Bacillota; Bacilli; Caryophanales; Staphylococcaceae
Description: bacterial SSU rRNA
Rfam family: Bacterial small subunit ribosomal RNA
Source: RNAcentral
UCGAGCGAACAGAUAAGGAGCUUGCUCCUUUGACGUUAGCGGCGGACGGGUGAGUAACACGUGGAUAACCUACCUAUAAGACUGGGAUAACUUCGGGAAACCGGAGCUAAUACCGGAUAACAUAUUGAACCGCAUGGUUCAAUAGUGAAAGGCGGCUUUGCUGUCACUUAUAGAUGGAUCCGCGCCGUAUUAGCUAGUUGGUAAGGUAACGGCUUACCAAGGCAACGAUACGUAGCCGACCUGAGAGGGUGAUCGGCCACACUGGAACUGAGACACGGUCCAGACUCCUACGGGAGGCAGCAGUAGGGAAUCUUCCGCAAUGGGCGAAAGCCUGACGGAGCAACGCCGCGUGAGUGAUGAAGGUCUUCGGAUCGUAAAACUCUGUUAUCAGGGAAGAACAAAUGUGUAAGUAACUGUGCACAUCUUGACGGUACCUGAUCAGAAAGCCACGGCUAACUACGUGCCAGCAGCCGCGGUAAUACGUAGGUGGCAAGCGUUAUCCGGAAUUAUUGGGCGUAAAGCGCGCGUAGGCGGUUUUUUAAGUCUGAUGUGAAAGCCCACGGCUCAACCGUGGAGGGUCAUUGGAAACUGGAAAACUUGAGUGCAGAAGAGGAAAGUGGAAUUCCAUGUGUAGCGGUGAAAUGCGCAGAGAUAUGGAGGAACACCAGUGGCGAAGGCGACUUUCUGGUCUGUAACUGACGCUGAUGUGCGAAAGCGUGGGGAUCAAACAGGAUUAGAUACCCUGGUAGUCCACGCCGUAAACGAUGAGUGCUAAGUGUUAAGGGGGUUUCCGCCCCCUUAGUGCUGCAGCUAACGCAUUAAGCACUCCGCCUUGGGGGAGUACGACCGCCAAGGUUGAAACUCAAAGGAAUUGACGGGGGACCCGCACAAGCGGUGGAGCAUGUGGUUUAAUUCGAAGCAACGCGAAGAACCUUACCAAAUCUUGACAUCCUUUGACCGCUCUAGAGAUAGAGUCUUCCCCUUCGGGGGACAAAGUGACAGGUGGUGCAUGGUUGUCGUCAGCUCGUGUCGUGAGAUGUUGGGUUAAGUCCCGCAACGAGCGCAACCCUUAAGCUUAGUUGCCAUCAUUAAGUUGGGCACUCUAAGUUGACUGCCGGUGACAAACCGGAGGAAGGUGGGGAUGACGUCAAAUCAUCAUGCCCCUUAUGAUUUGGGCUACACACGUGCUACAAUGGACAAUACAAAGGGCAGCUAAACCGCGAGGUCAAGCAAAUCCCAUAAAGUUGUUCUCAGUUCGGAUUGUAGUCUGCAACUCGACUACAUGAAGCUGGAAUCGCUAGUAAUCGUAGAUCAGCAUGCUACGGUGAAUACGUUCCCGGGUCUUGUACACACCGCCCGUCACACCACGAGAGUUUGUAACACCCGAAGCCGGUGUGAGUAACCAUUUAUGGA